Molecule: long non-coding RNA, 2165 nt
Filed under: Triticum aestivum (bread wheat)
Lineage: Eukaryota; Viridiplantae; Streptophyta; Magnoliopsida; Poales; Poaceae
Description: long non-coding RNA (TAES_LNC000046)
Source: RNAcentral
UCUCACUUGCCUCGGUAUAUACAUAUCAAAACGAAAGGAAAAAAUCAAUGAACUAUGUCACUUGCCCAGCUAAUAGAUAUCAUUAUAAAAGUAUGUCCAGAUGAAAGGAAAAAAACUAACAGACUAUGUCGCUUGCCCGGCUAAUAUAUCUCAUUAUAAGCAUGUCCAAACGAAAGAAAAAAUAACCAACAAACUAUAUCGCUUGCCCAGCUAACAGAUCUCAUUAUAAACAUGUCCAAAGAAAAGAACAAGAAAACCAACAAACUAUGUCGCUUGCCAGGCUAACAGAUCUCGAUAUAACACAUGUAAAAAACCGAAUGAAGAGAAAGAACCAACGAACUAUGUUGCUUGCCUGGCUAAUACAUCUCACUAAACAUGUUCAAACGAAAGAGAAAAUAACCAACAAACUAUGUUGCUUGCCCAGCUACCAGAUCUCAUUAUAAAAGUAUCUUCGAUCGCCAAGGUCCAGCUCUUCUCCAUCAACUCGUCGCCUUGAUCUAUGAUCGACAAUUGCAUCCUUGAUCUCUCUAUGCCCUUGUCCCUGAAAACAUCUUCUUAGAUUCUUUAUGCUUCUUCCUGGACGUCAUCCCCACCUUGAUUGGUCAUAACUGAAGACCUGCCCACUAUCGUAGGGAGAAAACAAUUAACACAUGAGAUAGUUUAUCUCUGAUCUCCUGCUUAUAUAAAACAUAAGAUGUUGUUGUUUGCUUGUCCUUCGUCCAUCUUCUUUAUUGUGUUUCUACUCACUCUUUCCCUUUUGAUUUCCACCCUUCAAUCUCUUCCUUUUUCCUAUCAUUUUUCUUAACAAAAAACCUCAACGGUGCCACCUCUUAACAUGUCAAAAUGAAGGAGGAAAAAAACCAAUGAUAUCGCUUGUCCGGCUAACAGAUCUCAUUAUAAACAUGUCCAAAGAAAAGAACAAGAAAACCAACAAACUAUGUUGCUUGUCAGGCUAACAGAUUUCGAUAUAAACAUGUAAAAAAAUGAAUGAAGAAAAAGAACCAACGAACUAUGUUGCUUGCAUGGCUAAUAGAUCUCAUUAAACAUGUUGAAACGAAAGAACAAAUAGCCAACAAACUAUGUUUCUUGACCAGCUACCAGAUCUCAUUAUAAAAGUAUCUUCGAUCGCCAAGGUCCAGCUCUUCUCCAUCAACUCGUAGCCUUGGUCUAUGAUCGACAAUUGCAUCCUUGCUCCCUCUGUGCCCUUGUCCCUGAAAACAUCUUCUUGGAUUCUUUAAGCUUCUCCCUGUACGUCAUCCCCACCUUGAUUGGUCAUAACUGAAGACCUGCCCAAUAUCGUAGGGAGAAAACAAUUAACACAUGAGAUAGUUUCUCUCCGAUCUCCUGCUUAUAUAAAACAUAAGAUGUUGUUGUUUGCUUGUCCUUCAUCCAUCUUCUUUAUUGUGUUUCUGCUCACUCUUUCCCUUUUGAUUUCCACCCUUCAAUCUCUGCCUUUUUUCCAUCAUUUUUUCUUAAAAAACGCCUCAACGGUGCCACCUCUUAACAUGUCAAAAUGAAGGAGGAAAUAAACCAACGAACUAUAUCGCUUGCCCGGCUAACAGAUCUCAUUAUAAACAUGUCCAAAGAAAAGAACAAGAAAACCAACAAACUAUGUCGCUUGCCAGGCUAACAGAUUUCGAUAUAAACAUGUAAAAACCGAAUUAAUAAAAAGAACCAACGAACUAUGUUGCUUGCGUGGCUAAUAGAUCUCCUUAAACAUCUUCAAAUGAAAUAACAAAUAACCAACAAACUAUGUUGCUUGACCAGCUACCAUCUCAUUAUAAAAGUAUCUUUGAUCGCCAAGGUCCAGCUCUUCUCCAUCAACUCGCCGCCUUGGUCUAUGAUCGACAAUUGCAUCCUUGAUCUCUCCAUGCCCUUGUCCCUGAAAAUAACUUCUUGGAUUCUUUAAGCUUCUCCCUGGACGUCAUCCCCACCUUGAUUGGUCAUAACUGAAGACCUGCCCAAUAUCGUAGGGAGAAAACAAUUAACACAUGAGAUAGUUUCUCUCCGAUCUCCUGCUUAUAUAAAACAUAAGAUGUCGGUGUUUGCUUGUCCUUCGUCCAUCUUCUUUAUUGUGUUUCUGCUCACUCUUUCCCUUUUGAUUUCCACCCUUCAAUCUCUGCCUUUUUUCCAUCAUUUUUUCUUAAAAAACGCCUCAACGGUGC